CCCUUAGAUGUUCUGGGCCGCACACGCGCUACACUGAAGGAGGCAGCGUGUACUCCUGGAUCGAAAGAUUUGGGUAACCCGCGAAACUCCUUCGUGCUAGGGAUUGAGGUUUGCAAUUAUCCUUCAUGAACGAGGAAUUCCCAGUAAGUGCAAGUCAUAAGCUUGCGCUGACUACGUCCCUGCCCUUUGUACACACCGCCCGUCGCUACUACCGAUUGAAUGAUUUAGUGAGGACUUCGGACUGGGACCGAUGCGGCUUUCGGGCUGCGUCGGUAUUCUGGAAAGAUGUCCAAACUGUAUCAUUUAGAGGAAGUAAAAGUCGUAACA
RNAcentral lists this ribosomal RNA (327 nucleotides) under uncultured eukaryote. RNAcentral describes it as "partial 18S ribosomal RNA". It matches the Rfam family "Eukaryotic small subunit ribosomal RNA", at positions 1470 to 1796 of the family's 1831-position model. The record is from RNAcentral.